AAUCAACGCUGGCGGCGUGCCUCAGACAUGCAAGUCGAACGAUUAAACUUUCCUUCGGGAAAGAUAUAAAGUGGCGCACGGGUGAGUAACACGUAAGUAAUCUACCUUCGAGUGGGGAAUAACGUCGGGAAACCGACGCUAAUACCGCAUAAUGCAGCGGCACCUAAUGGUGACAGUUGUUAAAGGAGCAAUUCGCUUGAAGAGGAGCUUGCGGCAGAUUAGCUAGUUGGAAGGUAACGGCUUACCAAGGCUACGAUCUGUAACCGGUCUAAGAGGACGGUCGGUCACACUGACACUGAAUAACGGGUCAGACUCCUACGGGAGGCAGCAGUCGGGAAUUUUGGGCAAUGGGCGAAAGCCUGACCCAGCAACGCCGCGUGAAGGAUGAAGUAUUUCGGUAUGUAAACUUCGAAGAAUGGGAAGAAUCAAUGACGGUACCAUUUAUAAGGUCCGGCUAACUACGUGCCAGCAGCCGCCGUAAU
This 482-nucleotide ribosomal RNA is filed under the name uncultured bacterium. RNAcentral's name for it is "bacterial SSU rRNA". It matches the Rfam family "Bacterial small subunit ribosomal RNA", at positions 32 to 524 of the family's 1533-position model. The record is from RNAcentral.